CCGUGCCCAAGAGAUCGGGAUAACACCUGGAAACAGAUGCUAAUACCGGAUAANAACAGAUGAUGCCUAUCAACUGUUUAAAAGAUGGUUCUGCUAUCACUCUUGGAUGGACCUGCGGUGCAUUAGCUAGUUGGUAGGGUAACGGCCUACCAAGGCGAUGAUGCAUAGCCGAGUUGAGAGACUGAUCGGCCACAUUGGGACUGAGACACGGCCCAAACUCCUACGGGAGGCAGCAGCU
This 238-nucleotide ribosomal RNA is filed under the name uncultured Lactobacillus sp. RNAcentral describes it as "partial 16S ribosomal RNA". It matches the Rfam family "Bacterial small subunit ribosomal RNA", at positions 125 to 355 of the family's 1533-position model. Lineage: Bacteria; Bacillati; Bacillota; Bacilli; Lactobacillales; Lactobacillaceae. The record is from RNAcentral.